Molecule: ribosomal RNA, 498 nt
Filed under: uncultured bacterium
Lineage: Bacteria
Description: partial 16S ribosomal RNA
Rfam family: Bacterial small subunit ribosomal RNA
Source: RNAcentral
GAUGAACGCUAGCGGCAGGCCUAAUACAUGCAAGUCGGACGGGAUUGAGGAGCUUGCUCUUCAUGAGAGUGGCGCACGGGUGCGUAACACGUAUUUAACCUCCCUUGUCCAGGGGGAUAGCCUCUCGCACGAGAGAGUAAGACCGCAUAACAUAUUGAAGUGGCAUCACUUUAUUAUGAAACAUUUAUAGGAACAAGAUGGGCAUGCGGAACAUUAGCUAGUGGGUGAGGUAACGGCUGACCAAGGAGACGAUGUUUAGGGGAUCUGAGAGGAUGGCCCCCCACACUGGUACUGAGACAGGGACCAGACUCCUACAGGAGGCGGCAGUAAGGAAUAUUGGUCAAUGGACGGAAGUCUGAACCAGCCAUGCCGCGGGCAGGAAGACGGCCGUAUGGGUUGUAAACUGCUUUUGCAGGGGAAUAAACCUCUCCACGUGUAGAGAGCUGAAUGUACUCUGAGAAUAAGGAUCGGCUAACUCCGUGCCAGCAGCCGCGGUAA